RNAcentral lists this ribosomal RNA (440 nucleotides) under uncultured bacterium. RNAcentral describes it as "bacterial SSU rRNA". It matches the Rfam family "Bacterial small subunit ribosomal RNA", at positions 339 to 796 of the family's 1533-position model. The record is from RNAcentral.
CUACGGGAGGCAGCAGUGAGGAAUAUUGGGCAAUGGGGGAAACCCUGAUGCAGCAACGCCGCGUGGAGGAUGAAGGCUUCGGUUGUAAACUCCUUUUCUGUGGGAAGAGACAAGGACGGUACCACAGGAAUAAGUCACGGCUAACUACGUGCCAGCAGCCGCGGUAACACGUAGGUGGCAAGCGUUAUCCGGAUUCAUUGGGCGUAAAGCGCACGCAGGCGGCUUUUCAAGUCCGACGUGAAAUCUCUCGGCUUAACUGGGAGGGGUCGUUGGAAACUGAUUGGCUUGAGGCAAUGAGAGGGGUGUAGAAUUCCUGGUGUAGUGGUGGAAUGCGUAGAUAUCAGGAGGAAUACCAGUGGCGAAAGCGGCACCCUGGCAUUGGUCUGACGCUCAUGUGCGAAAGCGUGGGGAGCGAACGGGAUUAGAAACCCCAGUAGUCC